AAGUCGUAACAAGGUUUCCGUAGGUGAACCUGCGGAAGGAUCAUUAACAUUUGGAAUGGAUUUGGGGUGGAGUGGUUGAGAUUUGAUUUGAUUUCAUAUCAGAUCUUGCCACACCACCUUCCUACCCCACAUUGUGUGCAUUUCUGUAGUAGUAGUAGAGUUGUGGUAUGGAUGAAAGGAAACUUUGAUCUAGCUAUCUCUCUUCUUCUUCUCCUCAUAUCUCAUCUCCUAUCAAAACCCCUACCUUUUACUCAUCUAGUCUGAACUUAACACCUUUUUUCUCACUUACAAUGAGGAAAAAACCAAUCAGCAUACAACUCUUAGCAACGGAUAUCUAGGCUCUC
RNAcentral lists this unclassified non-coding RNA (344 nucleotides) under fungal sp. RNAcentral's name for it is "partial internal transcribed spacer region". The stretch from base 1 to 46 matches the Rfam family "Eukaryotic small subunit ribosomal RNA", at positions 1786 to 1831 of the family's 1831-position model. The record is from RNAcentral. Lineage: Eukaryota; Fungi.